UGCCCGUGUUCCUGGUUUCCAAAGUCAUGA
RNAcentral lists this non-coding RNA (30 nucleotides) under Mus musculus (house mouse). The record is from RNAcentral. Lineage: Eukaryota; Metazoa; Chordata; Mammalia; Rodentia; Muridae.